Molecule: non-coding RNA, 522 nt
Organism: Vigna umbellata (rice bean)
Lineage: Eukaryota; Viridiplantae; Streptophyta; Magnoliopsida; Fabales; Fabaceae
Source: RefSeq, a predicted model, not a curated record
AGUAUUGGUCAAUUUGUGGGCUCUGAAUUCCAAUAUUGAUGUUCCUGAAGACUGUCUUUCACUUUCAAGCGAAUCUCUAGACAAUUUCAGAAAAGUGGGAUCUCCACAAGCUGCGAAAUUGUUGCCUCCUAGCUUGGAUGAUUCUAAUAAAAAGUCUACACUUGGUGUUUCUUCAUCUCAAUCUAGAGAGCGCAGAAAAAUGCAAUUGGUGGAACAGCCAAGCCAAAAUUCAGUUAGUAGAAGUUCAUAGGUGACAAAAGCAGGGUUUGUAAGUCAAGGUCGGCCCAGGUAUGCUGAUGAUAUUCAGAAAGCAAAAAUACGUGCUUUAUUUAUGCAGAAUAUUUGAUGACAUAUCUCCAAUGGAACAACAUAUCAUAAAGGUUGUUUGGGAGGAGUGGGUUGCAUUUCUUUUAACCGUUUGUAAAUGAUUAGAUGUUUCAAUAUUACAUGAGCUGAGACACUAUUUUAUGUGUAAUUAUGUUAUGUAAAUAUAUUUAGGAACUUUGUUAGGUAAAUAUUACU